Molecule: unclassified non-coding RNA, 269 nt
Filed under: Hevea brasiliensis (rubber tree)
Lineage: Eukaryota; Viridiplantae; Streptophyta; Magnoliopsida; Malpighiales; Euphorbiaceae
Source: RNAcentral
AACACUUGGCAUUAUUUCCUUCUAGCAUUUAAAAGGCAAAGGAAAUGAGAGAUGACAACUGUAGCUUCUUUUCUUUCAAUCCUUUCUUCCUUUAAUUUUUCUCCUUUCUACUUCUUUCUUCUUCCAUUUAUAUUUCAACAAAGAAAUUUGUUCAUUCUUCUCCCUCAUUAAAUGGUAGCUUCUCCAUUCUUCUCCCUAUCAUUUUAGAGAUUUCCUAUUACCAACCUCUCCUUCACACUACUAAAACUAUAUAAGAGUAUAGAUGAGGG